GUACUCGCUUCAGCAGCACCUAUACCAAAAUUGGAACCAUACAGAGAUCAGCCUGGUCCCUGCACAAGGAUGACAUGCAAAUUCGUGAAGCGCCCGAUAUUUUA
Small nuclear RNA from Pipistrellus kuhlii (Kuhl's pipistrelle), 104 nucleotides. The record is from RefSeq and is a predicted model, not a curated record. NCBI's taxonomy places the organism in Eukaryota, Metazoa, Chordata, Mammalia, Chiroptera, Vespertilionidae.